CCCGCGGUAGCUCAGCCUGGUAGAGCGUCCGGCUGUAGUCCUCGGCCGGGGCCGAGGCGCCCCAGCAUACCAGGCGGACAGACACCGGAGGGCCGCAGGUUCAAAUCCUGCCCGCGGGACCA
This 122-nucleotide transfer RNA is filed under the name Conexivisphaera calida. RNAcentral describes it as "Conexivisphaera calidus tRNA-Ala". It matches the Rfam family "tRNA". From Rfam's summary of the family: Transfer RNA (tRNA) molecules are approximately 80 nucleotides in length. Their secondary structure includes four short double-helical elements and three loops (D, anti-codon, and T loops). The record is from RNAcentral. Lineage: Archaea; Thermoproteati; Nitrososphaerota; Conexivisphaeria; Conexivisphaerales; Conexivisphaeraceae.